Molecule: ribosomal RNA, 312 nt
Filed under: uncultured Pseudomonas sp.
Lineage: Bacteria; Pseudomonadati; Pseudomonadota; Gammaproteobacteria; Pseudomonadales; Pseudomonadaceae
Description: partial 16S ribosomal RNA
Rfam family: Bacterial small subunit ribosomal RNA (bases 162-312)
Source: RNAcentral
CCUACUACCCUCCCGUGUUGCGUCGUCGUCCCUACCGACGACCUCGUAGGUCUACGCGUAACGAACAGUGCUAGCGUCGGUAGCUUCUGAAGCUUAUUGGUGGCAGCUACGACACUAUUAGACGCCUCGGAGGUAGCGCAGUAAAGUACAAUAGAUAUACGGAGGGCCCGCACAAGCGGUGGAGCAUGUGGUUAAUUCGAAGCAACGCGAAGAACCUUACCAGGCCUUGACAUGCAGAGAACUUUCCAGAGAUGGAUUGGUGCCUUCGGGAACUCUGACACAGGUGCUGCAUGGCUGUCGUCGACGCGGCCG